Solenopsis invicta (red fire ant) is the source of this 1678-nucleotide long non-coding RNA. RefSeq lists it as uncharacterized. NCBI's taxonomy places the organism in Eukaryota, Metazoa, Arthropoda, Insecta, Hymenoptera, Formicidae. The transcript has 2 exons. The record is from RefSeq and is a predicted model, not a curated record.
GAUCCUGAAAUAUCAAUAUCUGUUUUAAUCCUUUGCCUGUUAACAGUAAUCCCAUACUUCUUGUUUGCAUGAUAUAUUUAUUAAUAUCAUGUAAUUCAUUGUCGUAUUUAAAAAUGUUAAUAUGAAACUUUGGGCAUCUUAAGGAGGCAUAUAUACCUAGCAAGGUCAAAAAAAUCAAUUUUUGUAUUAUUACAUAUUUAUAAUGUUUAAUAUUGUGAGAUUCUUUAAUUAUUUUAUUUAAAAUACAUUUUUGGGUAUUUAAACGUAAAGAUUAAUUGUACGUGUUAGUCCUUUUAAAACGGAAAGAGCGACUCACUGAUGAUCGGUUGCCUAGCAACCAAACAACAGGACAGAACUGCAAUGCCUUGUAUGUAUUAAUAAACUAUCAGGCCCGCGGCGUAUUACAUAUUACAAUUUUACAAUUUUUCGAGAAUGUCUGGUGAAAAUUUCAAGUCAAAAUUCCGAAAAAUAACAUAUUAUAGUUUUAUUAUAUGACUGAUAGCAUAUUGGCACGCUGCACCGCGCCGCGCGCUGUUGAGAUAUUAUGGUUUGAUCACGGCCCGUCCCUUUGGUUUCGUGUCUAAUACUUCGUGUCUAAUAUCUCAAAGACGCAUUAUUGGAGCGCUGUGUUGGUGACUAUACUCACAACAGAAUAGCAAUAAAAGUUUUAACAGUAUAAUUUGGAAAAUAGCUUUAAAAACGCACAGCGGUGCUAUUACAGUAGAAAUUGCUGCAUACAUAGCUGCUUGCAUGUUCAACGAUGAUAUAACUUCAAUAUUACGAAUAAUGAGCAUUAUGGGCAUUUCUCUCGGACCGAAUGCACACCAAUAUGCUGCGCGCGAAGAUGAUCGCCGCAUAACGCAAGUCGAGGUAUAUACGCAGGAACAGACAAAAGAAGCGCGAAUAUGUCGCCGACAACAAAAUUUAGACGAUAUGUGCAUCUACUGCAGAGAACUUGUAUUAUGGGCCUAGAAUUGACGACUCUGUUUGAUUUUUGAUGAAGUUACACUUGGUACCGUUUUAAGAGAUUUUUUCAAGGCUGCCUCUUCGCGACACCGUAUCUCCGAUAUUUUGCGCAAUUUUUUAAUAAAAAAAAUUAUAAAGUUUCUUCAAAAUGUAUAUUUUCAAAAAAACCCACAGUUCGGUAAUUUCAUCAGUUUCCAACAAAAAUUCCAAGAAAUUGCCAUUUUUUGGCCUCCUAGGUAUAUGGUAUAUGCCUCCUUAAAGAAAUUUAGCAUUUGCUCCAUUCUCUUCAUGACUAUCAUACAUUUAAUAUCAUUGACACAUUAAGCAUUAUCAUAGGUAAUAAUAUACAUUAAUAUUAUUAGUUAUUACUUAUUAUUUAAAAAAUCACAAUUAAAUUUUAAUUCUAAUUUCUCGACAUAAAUAUUACAAUAGUUUGAUAACAGUUGUGGAAUUAUAGAGAAUGCUCUUCAGAUAUAGGUUCGUUCAAUAAUGUGCUACUGCUUCUUCUUUUUUAUAACAGAGCGUUGUGGAGCGUUUUAGCCAUACCUUAAUGCAUUCGUGUACUUGAUGUUCGUAAAACCGGGUAGUCCCUUAAGAACUGAUGAAAUCACCACACUAUUGACCUUUAGUAGCACAAAGGACCUUUUAUUAUUCCGCUUUCCAUAAAAACUGUACAACGAUGCAAUUUGAUUUGAUAAAAGGCUAUGAAGUA